AUUGAACGCUGGCGGGAUGCUUUACACAUGCAAGUCGACCGGCAGCGCGGACUUCGGUCUCGCGGCGAGUGGCGAACGGGUGAGUAAUGUAUCGGAACGUGCCCAGUAGCGGGGGAUAACUUCGCGAAAGCGUAGCUAAUACCGCAUCCGCCCUACGGGGGAAAGCGGGGGCUCUUAGGACCUUGCACUAUUGGUGCGGCCGAGGUCGGAUUAGCUAGUUGGUGAGGUAAAGGCUCACCAAGGCGACGAUCCGUAGCUGGUUUGAGAGGAUGACCAGACACACUGGAACUGAGACACGGCCCAGACUCCUACGGGAGGCAGCAGUGGGGAAUAUUGGACAAUGGGCGAAAGCCUGAUCCAGCCAUGCCGCGUGUGUGAAGAAGGUCUUCGGAUUGUAAAGCACUUUAAGCAGGGAAGAAGCGUAGUAAGCUAAUACCUCGCUGUUUUGACGGUACCUACAGAAUAAGCACCGGCUAACUACGUG
RNAcentral lists this ribosomal RNA (484 nucleotides) under uncultured bacterium. Its description in RNAcentral is "partial 16S ribosomal RNA". It matches the Rfam family "Bacterial small subunit ribosomal RNA", at positions 30 to 507 of the family's 1533-position model. The record is from RNAcentral.